UGCAAGACAAAUGGUGCAAGAAAAAUCUCAGACAAGGGUGUAAUUGCAGCUGUGGUGCAGCAUGAGUAACAACAGGAUGGUUAGAAGUGUCGCUGUGGUAGCGACUUACAGAUGGUAUCCACCUGUCACUCAAAGCAGCCACGUCCUUAAUUAUCCAUUACUUCAUAACUUUGAUAACAAUUUAACAGAAGAGGCAUGUGAGAACAAUGAAAGCAUUCUUCAAGAAUUCAGCAAAACACUGGAUGAACCCUACAAGUGAAGAGCCUCAACUCCAAUUUCAAAACAGCCCAUACUGAGGGAGGCAUGGGGUCAAAGUUCAGAUCCUCUUCAGAGAGUCCCUGAGAUGUAUUCACUCCUACAGGCUUUCCAUUGAUU
Molecule: long non-coding RNA, 375 nt
Organism: Epinephelus fuscoguttatus (brown-marbled grouper)
Lineage: Eukaryota; Metazoa; Chordata; Actinopteri; Perciformes; Serranidae
Exons: 4
Source: RefSeq, a predicted model, not a curated record